GGGAGGGAGGGAAUAGGAUAGAGUCUGAGACGGUUGGAAGAAACUUCAUUGAAGGCUCAUGUUGGUGGGUUUGUCUAGCCAUGGGUGAAGCUGGGGAGAAAUUUAUGGGAUCAUGAGUUCAUGACUCUUUUCCCGUUUACACAAGUCUUACGGGGUAUUUGUUUCUUUAGUCCCUCCUAAAAUUUCUGUCACAUCGAAUGUCUAGAUACUAAUUAGGAGUAUUAAAUAUAGACUAAUUAUAAAACCAAUUGCACAGAUGGAGACUAAUUUGCGAGACGAAUCUAUUAAGCCUAAUUAGUUCAUGAUUUGACAAUGUGAUGCUACAGUAAACAUGUGCUAAUGAUGGAUUAAUUAGGCUUAAUAGAUUCGUCUCGUGAAUUAGCCUCCAUCUGUGUAAUUAGUUUUAUAAUUAGCUCAUAUUUAGUCCUCCUAAUUAGCCUCCGAAUAUUCGAUGUGACAUAAAUUUUAGGAGGUCCUAAAGAUCCAAA
RNAcentral lists this long non-coding RNA (488 nucleotides) under Setaria viridis. RNAcentral's name for it is "long non-coding RNA (SVIR_LNC002261)". The record is from RNAcentral. Lineage: Eukaryota; Viridiplantae; Streptophyta; Magnoliopsida; Poales; Poaceae.